Molecule: long non-coding RNA, 573 nt
Organism: Chelonia mydas (Green sea turtle)
Lineage: Eukaryota; Metazoa; Chordata; Testudines; Cheloniidae
Exons: 2
Source: RefSeq, a predicted model, not a curated record
GGGGAGACCCAGAACUGUGGGGUACUGCCAGGGGGCAGCACUCAGUGAAAGGGGCAGCAGGGUCCUGGAAGGGACAUGGGAGCCAGCAGCAAGGCGAGACACUGGCCUGAAGAGGGCGCUCCGGCGGCUGGAAAGCUAAAUCCCAAGGACAACCAGCAGCAGGCACCGCUGGUAACCUGGUCCUGACCCUGAGCUCCGAUUUCUGCCUUCGGCUCUGGCCUCUGGCUCUGACCCUUGGCUCCAAUUUCUGGCUACCAGCUCCUGCUCUAACCACUGGAUAUGACUCCUGCUCCAACCACUCAGCAUGACCACUCACGUCCUGCUCACUGACAUUGGGCCCAUCUCUGAUUGUUCAUCCCAAAAGUACAGCCACAGAGAUUCCCAAAUGAUGCUCGCUAAUGGGAGGCAUUUGCAGUGGUGCUGGAACAAUUUUUACAGUUGGGGUGCUGAAAGUCUGGUCCCCAAACUUUUUACCUUGCCCCUUCUUACCCUGUCUGUGCUCCCUCUCCCCCGAGUUGAGGCCAGGACUGGGCUGUGGAUCGGGGUAAGGUGACUCAGGCUGGGACCACACCU